Molecule: ribosomal RNA, 401 nt
Filed under: uncultured bacterium
Lineage: Bacteria
Description: bacterial SSU rRNA
Rfam family: Bacterial small subunit ribosomal RNA
Source: RNAcentral
CGGGAAUUUUGGGCAAUGGGCGAAAGCCUGACCCAGCAACGCCGCGUGAGGGAUGAAGUAUUUCGGUAUGUAAACCUCGAAAGAAUGGGAAGAAUAAAUGACGGUACCAUUUAUAAGCUCCGGCUAACUACGUGCCAGCAGCCGCGGUAAUACGUAGGGAGCAAGCGUUGUUCGGAUUUACUGGGCGUAAAGGGCGCGUAGGCGGCGCGGUAAGUCACUUGUGAAAUCUCUGAGCUUAACUCAGAACGGCCAAGUGAUACUGCUGUUCUAGAGUGCGGAAGAGGCAAACGGAAUUCUUGGUGUAGCGGUGAAAUGCGUAGAUAGCAAGAGGAACACCUGAGGCGAAGGCGGGUUGCUGGGCCGACACUGACGCUGAUGCGCGAAAGCCAGGGGAGCAAACG